RNAcentral lists this ribosomal RNA (253 nucleotides) under uncultured bacterium. RNAcentral's name for it is "partial 16S ribosomal RNA". It matches the Rfam family "Bacterial small subunit ribosomal RNA", at positions 524 to 776 of the family's 1533-position model. The record is from RNAcentral.
UACGGGGGGGGCAAGCGUUGUUCGGAAUUACUGGGCGUAAAGCGUGCGCAGGCGGCCUUCCAAGUCAGGGGUGAAAGCCCAGAGCUCAACUCUGGAAUUGCCUUUGAGACUGUGAGGCUUGAGUACGGGAGAGGUGAGUGGAAUUCCCAGUGUAGAGGUGAAAUUCGUAGAUAUUGGGAAGAACACCGGUGGCGAAGGCGGCUCGCUGGCCCGUAACUGACGCUCAUGCACGACAGCGUGGGGAUCAAACAGG